Long non-coding RNA from Seriola aureovittata, 3288 nucleotides. RefSeq lists it as uncharacterized. NCBI's taxonomy places the organism in Eukaryota, Metazoa, Chordata, Actinopteri, Carangiformes, Carangidae. The transcript has 2 exons. The record is from RefSeq and is a predicted model, not a curated record.
UAAAAAUGGACGUCGACUCUGAGUCAGCGGUCAUGUCUAAUACAUCAACGUCGUGAUAGUUCAAGUUAAGAUAACGUGACGUGUACAAAAUGUGUUUCCACACUGUGAAAACUGAGUGAUCUGUGCCAACAGAAGGAGGACCUCAUGUACAGAGCAGCACAUUAGUUUCCAUUCAUCUGGUUGUGGAGAAGGGAGACUGCAUGGACAUCCUUAGUUCUCUAAUGUGCUGUGAUGAUGAUGAUGAUGAUGAUGAUGAUGAUGAUGAUGAUGAUGAUGCUAGAAAACCUCCCAGUUCAUCUUCCUCUGAUGAAAUGACAGACUAACUGCUGAUGAGUUUGUUUAUUAUUCUCUGUCUUCAGUAUUCACAGGUUCAGUUUCUUACCUGCAGCUUCAUUUCUGCUGUUGUCGACAGGUGAUGGUAGCAACACUUUUAAGAUCAGAAUUUAUAAAUAUUAAACUGUGAUCAAGUGAUGGAUCAACUCUAGCACUGUCACCACCUCCAUAGGUCAAAGUAUUUACCAAUUAACAUCAGCAUGUUUUUUGAUCCUUCAUUGUCAGUGUUAUCAGACAACAUUUAAAACAUUUGUAGUAUUUAUAUUGUUGAUUAAAGCUAACAUAGAAAUAGUCACACAAUGCUGUACGUGUUACUAUUGUGAAAAUUCAUACCAGAUGUGUUUCUAUAAAAACCAUCAACUAAGUUAAAGCAAGAGCUUCAUAAAUAACUUUAUUGGACAUUAUAAACAACAUUAAUUUAAACAAUUUCCAACACUGGAAACAUGUAUAAAAGAAUGUAAUAAAUUGUUUUAAUUAAAUACUGUAGUGUACAAUUUACAAUCAUCUGUAACUAUUUAAAAUCAAAAUACAGUUGUGGAUUAAGUUAUAGCUGAAUUUCACUGUCAUAUGUAAGUUUGCUUAAUAAAAAAUAAGUUGUUGAAUCAACAGCAACAGUAUUUUUAGUAACAAGUAUAAUAAUUAUUCAUCAUGAGUCCUAAUGUGUGAGACAGUUAAUAUUUAUUUGCUCCAGUAACAAUCUCCCUCUAAAUAAGUGAUGCUGUUGGAACAGCACACUGAUAUUAACUAUAAUGGCUGAGGACUAUGAAAUAUGAAAUCUAAUGUUUUAAACUAUUGACAGUUUGUUACAGCUGCAGUGGAGUCCAAAAGUCAUGUGAUUGUAUGUCUGACGUGGGGCAGAGAGUGUAAUACGACAGUGAGGGUGUAGCAGUGGCGAUUGCUCUAAGACUGCAAGGGAAGCUCAGCUUCCCCUAAAAUGUCAACAAAAUAAGUGGUCAAAUAUGUUCUGUUGUAUGUACAUUUCACUGACUAAAUAUGCGCUAGAACACGUUCAUCUUUUGUUCAGAAUCAGCUACUUAUCACAGGUAACCGACAGGACUUCCUCCUCAUUCCUCCCCGCAGCGCCACAGAGCUUUACACAGUGUAGACACCGAGCGUCUCCUGACGUCACUGGGGAAGCAGAGAGUGGGUUGUUCCACUGCAGCGAAACUAGACGGUGAUUGGAUAAAUGCUGGGCUUUGUCCCGCCCAUCGGACGCUCAGCGUCUCUGGGGGUCUAUGGGGCAGUGGGCUGGCCCGGACGCUCGGCUUCUGCAUGAUGAUUGGAUGAUCUGUCUGAGGCUGAGUCCCUUUUUGAUUGACAGCGAAAUGAGCGAAUCAGCGAUCUUGAAGUAUAAGCCUCCACCGGAGCAGUUUUCAAGUUUUUCAUUCCGUUGUUCGGAGUUGAUCUGGAGACGUUACUGAUCCUCAGCGACUUUGUCUUUGUUAAAAACGACUAGCGUUGUGUUUGGCGACUCUCUUCUGUCACUCUGCGAAUUUACAUAUAAAUAAACGGACACAUUUUAUGAUGUAGGCCGAAAAUGAGCUUCCCCUCCUUAUAGGACCAGCAGCCGCCACUGGGGUAUAGGGAACCAGGAAGAGCACAGCUGAUCAGACUCAACAAUGUUAUGGCCACAAGUGUUCGUAUCAUGAAGACUGCCAACAUACGGUGACUGGGAGGACCGUGCCAUGACGUCAUAUACUGACACAAGCAACCAACAUGGCAGCAGUGAACUGACACCUGGCUCUGUGAGCAGACAGUAAGGGAAAUACUCAGUGAGUAAAAUUUCCAGGGCUGUUGUAUCUUCUUUGCUUGCAGAAAUCAUCUGCCUGGUGCUGGAUGUGAGUCUCACAGCGUCGGAGGUUUUACUUUCUCAGCAAAGUGGUUCCAUAAAGGGUUUAUAUCUUGAUGCUUCAUGUGAACAGUGCAACAUCUACUGGCCUGAAUGCAAAAUGGGCAAAUACAAACGUUUGUACAUCACAGAUUUUAUGUAAGUAUAGGGGUAAGCAUGAUUGCAUUUUAUAAUGCAAGCAUAGAUUUAUAUACUGUAAAAGCAUAUUUAUAUAUAUAGAUAGAUAUAUAUACACAGACAGACAGAAACACACAAACACAAUCUCCACAAUUUGGAUUACCUUCAAAAUAAAAGUCUCAACAUGGUAAGAGGGAAUUACUGGCUCUGUUGUUCUAAACUUUAUGCAAUUUAUACUGCGAAACACAGAAGCACAAACACUUUCAAAAUAAGAGUCUCAAAAAGGUAAGAGGUCAUAGGUCAUAAAAGUUCGAUCUUAGAAGCCAUUGUCUAUAUGGGGAUAUAGUGGUAUAGCUUUAUUGCAGAUCAACUUCUGUAAGGGCAUGUACGUGUAUGCAUCCAUGUACAUGUGUGUGUACAUGUCUUGCUGUGGUUGUGGGGACACAUUUGUGUUUGAAACCAUCAGUGUGAGUUUAUUUUGGCCAGUUGUGACGGCUUCAAAAGGCUUUCUGAGGGACAUUUGCAGUGACUGAGGUCAGUGUCAGGAUGAGUCUCUACGACAUGAAUGAAACUGAAAGUCACGUCCUUUGUGCAGAUUGAAACGAGGAGUGAAGUUCAGGCACCAAGCAGCAGCAACAUUCAAAAUCUCUCCAGGAGUUUUCUAGUUUUGUUUAUUAUUCUGUCCUCAGUGUUCAAAGACUCACUUUCUUGCCUUUUACUUCAUUUCUACUGUUGUUGAUGGAUGAUCAGUAGGAAACAGAUGGAACUGACCCACCAGAACUGCAACCUGGAGCAGAACCAGACUCUUCAUAGAUGUGAUGCUGUGACCUCAGAGACGGAUGUGUUCACCUCACACACUCUUUAGUGUGAACUGAACACUGACAGUUCAGAUUGUGAAGCAGGUGUCAGUGUAGUACAGCUCAUGUUCAUUAGUUUUAUUCAGAACUUCAUUGUUGUUUAAUAAAUAAACCUUCUGUGAUUAAAUUGUA